This 73-nucleotide transfer RNA is filed under the name Mesocricetus auratus (golden hamster). It matches the Rfam family "tRNA". Rfam says of the family: Transfer RNA (tRNA) molecules are approximately 80 nucleotides in length. Their secondary structure includes four short double-helical elements and three loops (D, anti-codon, and T loops). Lineage: Eukaryota; Metazoa; Chordata; Mammalia; Rodentia; Cricetidae. The record is from Rfam by way of RNAcentral.
GGGGGUGUGGCUCAGCGGGUAGAGUACCUGUCUACCAUGUAGGAAUCCCUGGGUUCCAUCCCCAGCACCACAU